UGGGGAAUAUUGCACAAUGGGCGCAAGCCUGAUGCAGCCAUGCCGCGUGUAUGAAGAAGGCCUUCGGGUUGUAAAGUACUUUCAGCGGGGAGGAAGGGAGUAAAGUUAAUACCUUUGCUCAUUGACGUUACCCGCAGAAGAAGCACCGGCUAACUCCGUGCCAGCAGCCGCGGUAAUACGGAGGGUGCAAGCGUUAAUCGGAAUUACUGGGCGUAAAGCGCACGCAGGCGGUUUGUUCAGUCAGAUGUGAAAGCCCCGGGCUCAACCUGGGAACUGCAUCUGAUACUGGCCAGCUUGAGUCUCGUAGAGGGGGGUAGAAUUCCAGGUGUAGCGGUGAAAUGCGUAGAGAUCUGGAGGAAUACCGGUGGCGAAGGCGGCCCCCUGGACGAAGACUGACGCUCAGGUGCGAAAGCGUGGGGAGCAAACAGG
Molecule: ribosomal RNA, 429 nt
Filed under: Chloroflexota bacterium
Lineage: Bacteria; Bacillati; Chloroflexota
Description: Chloroflexi bacterium partial 16S ribosomal RNA
Rfam family: Bacterial small subunit ribosomal RNA
Source: RNAcentral